RNAcentral lists this long non-coding RNA (4028 nucleotides) under Mus musculus (house mouse). RNAcentral's name for it is "long non-coding RNA chr10:60808659-60812687". Lineage: Eukaryota; Metazoa; Chordata; Mammalia; Rodentia; Muridae. The record is from RNAcentral.
ACUCUGAAUACCACUAACCCCACAACGAAACCCAGGGGUCCAGAGAAGAGGUAUAGCACGCAAGGCAGCGGAUGUUUCUAGUCUAUUGGGACACAGCCCCAACCCCUCUGAGGAAACAGGAUGGUCUAGCAGGGGACAGCCCCAUACAAGAGCCUGAACCUCAGCGCCACCAUCUUCCAGCUGCAAAGAAUUGACAUGAGCUGUGUCUGCCCACACACUGCCCUGUCUCAGAGGGCAAACGACAGUGGCUGGACUGCUCUCUCCCCUCUCAGAGAGGAAAGUCCUGCUGGGUAGUUUUGGUCCCCAGCAGGUGUUGACCACCUAGAGCUCAAACCCCUACACUCUCUGUGUGGGCUUCCCUCUGGGCAGAACCAGCCUAUAGGACUCUGAAGUGCCUCAGCUUCCUCAUCUGCACAAAUGAGACUGUCACACUCUGGUGACCCAAGGUGUAUAUAGCAAGCUUAAGCCUAUUACCUGCCCUGGAAGGCAAAGCCCCUCACUACUCUACUGGGAUUACCACUACAUUAGCUAAGUAAGGGCCUUGCGCCUCAGCUGAGCAGACUGGACUCUGAGUGCCAGGCUGCGUGCAAGUCCGUCACCACUACCAUCGGGUGACUGUCCAUCUCUUUAAACGGGGUCGCACCCGCUGUAGCUAAAGGGCACAGUGGCCUAACUCGAGAGUUUGAAAUCUGGCCUCACCCUGCCAAGUAGCCUAGAGGCACCAUUGUGAUCCUGUGCCCCUGGGUGGCACUGACCAUACAGGACUCCCCCCUGGACUGCUAACAGAAAGUUCCCCAACAGCUAUCAGCCAGUGAUUUAGAAAUCUUCUAGGAAUGGGUUAGGCUAAGAAGAUCUGCUGUCUUCCUGGCCAGGGAUCACUGCAAGUUCAAGUCCAGACCAUCCUUGCACAUGAACAAAGGGAGAAGCUUUACUGGCAGGCACACUUCCGCCUCUGUGCCCUCGCCCUAUCUGAUAUGAUACCAGGUUCCAUGACGCAAACGCUGGGGCUCUCAGGCCCACAGGGCCGACCAAGCUGCAUGUAAGAACAUACCCCAUAUCUAAGGCCUUCAAAGCCUCUGCAACAGGGGGGGCUUGUGUAGGACACCUGUGGGGGGCUCAUAGUCCCUCCAGAGACUGCCUGGGCUUAGGUGACCCACUGGGCUUCUUGGACCUGCUUGGACUAACUGUCCUCCAAUGGAAGAGCAUCCCCGCUACUCAAGACCUUAGUGGGUAUAGAGAAAUAUGCAAGGCCCUAGCUGGUGGCCUGACUCUCCUCUUCCCUCCCCUGUAGCUUGAGGACCCAGUUUCUGCUUCCACAUAACACAGGCUGAGUGCUCAGAGCAGGCCCUGGCACACAGGAAGCCUUUUGAUGAGCUCAGAGACACACUGAGUCUAAAACUAAAGAGUCCCUCCACAGGCAGAGGCCUGGGAAUAGCAGGAACACACAUCUCUGCUCUCUCCCUACUGCACCCCCCCCCCGCCCCCACCGCAGUCUCUAAGACCCCAGGCUGAGAAGUAGUGAGGUCCUGGUGGGUACAGGAGGGCAUGAGGCUGUCAUACUCUGGCCUCCGCUCAGAUGCAACCAUUCGGAGGUCACUGCACGGUAUGGUGCCACACACCUUUAAUCCCAGUAUUCGGGAGUCAGAGGCAAGCAGAUCUCUGUGAGUUCGAGGCCAGCCUGGACUAAACAGAAACACCAUGUCUCAAAAAAAAAAAAAAAAAAAAGAAGUCUAAAACUAAACAGGCCUGUGGGAGGCCAAAGUCUACGGGUUACAGAAGCGGGGAGAGGAGACUGGAUCUACCAGGCCUCACCGCUCACACCUUCCUGACCCACUGAUUCCCAUGCCACAGCUUGGGCCUACCACAGGCAGGCCAUGGCACCAACCUUCAUGGCUGGCUACUGGUUGCCCUCCCUCUGAGCCCUGCCUUUCUUUAUGGAGUCUUAAGGACUCUUUACUAGAGAAAUGGGAGACAGCACUGGUGAGGGAUCCACAUGUCCUUGGUGGACAUGACCAUGCCCAUGGCUCAUGAUCCCUAGGGCUGUAAGCAGAGCUUCUAACGAGACCCCAGAGGUACAGGGUAGGGGAAGGAAGGGCAGAGCCUUAGCACUCCCGGCUCUCACUUGCCUCAAGCCCCCUUUACUGACUCUGCUUUCACCUAAGCUCAAGGCCAGUCCCCAGUGGACAGGCACAGUGGCUUACACACAUACGGCUAUAUUGAGCACCAAGCCCAGACCUACACUUUUUUAAAGAAAGCAUCAUCAUCAACAUCAACAUCACAGUCAUCAUCUUGUGUAUGAGUGUUUUGCCUGCAUAAGAGUCUGUGCACCACAUGCGUGCUUGGUGCUAGAGGAGGUGGUGAGCCUCGGGUGGUUGCCGAGAAUCGAACCUAGGUCUUUCACAACAAUAACAAGUGCCCUUAACCACUGAGCCAACUCUCCAGCCUCCGAGACCUUCAUCACAUGGAAACCACAGGACAGAAAUUCAGGGAAAUGACCCCAAAGAACCUAUCUUCCAGUUACCCAGGAGCCAUCUGGUACCAGCUACCACACCCACCCGCCACACCCACUCACAGGGAAUCCUGGCUCUUGCACUGGGGGGAUGAACUCGCAGGCCCUCUUGCCUAUGAGGUGAAGGGACCUGCAUUGGAGCCCUCAACUGCUCAGACUUGGUGCACCGGACCUGCCUCGUUCAUCUCCUUCAUUAUCAUGCUGGUUCCUAGGCUUGCAAGAGUCUCUUCUGGGUAACCUGGCUCUCCUAACUGGUGGAGCCACUGUCUUGUGUGACUUUUGUAUGGGAAAUGCUUUCCCCUGAAACCCAGCCGCAAUCCUCUGAGCCGCCCGCUACCUAUCAGCCAGCAUCCAGGAAUGUACUGGGGAAGAAGCUUUGGUGGGCAUUCGGAGGAGGGUGGUCAGCCUUCUCUAGGUUACAAGUAGCCGGGCCGGAGAGGGCAUUGCUGAGGCUAAGGAUGGCUUGCAGAGGGCCCCUCAAACCUGGCCUUGCCCUCCCUCCACCGGGGACAGCUCACGGAUGAGAGGAGCAGGGAGGUUGCUUCGCUGCCUCCGUUUGCAACUCUUUCCUGAGGAGGUCCAGGCUCGCCCCCUCCAAAGCAUGGGAAGAGGCAUGGAAGAGCCUGAAUAUCCAGGAAGAGAGGUAAAGACCCUGCCGCCAGGAGCCCCGUGGGCAACAAGGAGCUGAGGUGGUAGGAUAUUCAGCACUGAGGGGAGGGAGACAGAAGCCAGAAGUCUGUAAUCCACCCAGACCAGCUCUGCCCCGCCCCCACCUCCACUCCUGACCCCUGGGGAGCCCCGUGAGAGCCGUGGCAGGUUCUGGGAGUUUGCCUAGCUCUCCUACUAUGAAACAUGAGUUUCACAAGUGACCAGUGCCUGGCACGUCAGCUCAUGGAAAGGCUGGGGGUUCUCUAACAGGAAGAGAUCUCCCGUCGGGACUUCGGCCCACUGGCUUUCCUGUUUCCACACUCCUAUUUAUUCUGAUACCCAGAUUCCUAUCUGGGGGCUGGGGUUGGGGGGAAUCAAUGACGGUAGUUGUUUAUGGGGGAGUUAAUGAAGCAAUGCCUUCGCUGACCCUACACCUGUGGGAAGCCGGGAGGGCCAGGUUCCUUGCACGGGGGACCUCACCCCACCUCUUCACUUCUUUCUCCCAGCUCAGGUUACAGCCUGCUCCCACUGCCCCUCCCCCACUCUAGACCCCGGGUCUGGUCACAGCUAAAAAUAAACUCAAGGACUGGCUUACCAGCACACACCUUUAAGCCCCAGGAAAGAUGCUUCCAGCUUCCAGAUAGGGGUCACUAGUCUGAGGAGGGGAGUCGGGAGGCUUCCAGUAUAACACACUGCACACCUCUUAGCAUGGGGUGUAUAAACACACCUGUGGAGGCAGUGGCCCUUCCACUAACUGGUGCUAAGAGUGCGCCAGGCUCCGUGCUAAGGACCUUUGGUGAAUUUACCUUUUGGGCUCAUCUACCCAUUUUACAGACCAGAGAGCUGAGGACCGGAUCAGGAAGGAAGAGCG